GGCAUGGUGCUGCAGUGGGUAGCAUUGAAGUCUCACAGCUCCAGGGUCCCCGGUUCGAUUCUGAGCUCUGUCU
Molecule: non-coding RNA, 73 nt
Organism: Pangasianodon gigas (Mekong giant catfish)
Lineage: Eukaryota; Metazoa; Chordata; Actinopteri; Siluriformes; Pangasiidae
Source: the annotation of a GenBank genome assembly